This 253-nucleotide ribosomal RNA is filed under the name uncultured bacterium. RNAcentral's name for it is "partial 16S ribosomal RNA". It matches the Rfam family "Bacterial small subunit ribosomal RNA", at positions 524 to 776 of the family's 1533-position model. The record is from RNAcentral.
UACAGAGGGGGCUAGCGUUGUUCGGAAUUACUGGGCGUAAAGGGCGCGUAGGUGGCCUGUUAAGUCGAACGUGAAAUCCCCGGGCUCAACCCGGGAACUGCGUCCGAGACUGGCAGGCUCGAAUCCGGGAGAGGGAUGUGGAAUUCCAGGUGUAGCGGUGAAAUGCGUAGAUAUCUGGAGGAACACCGGUGGCGAAGGCGGCAUCCUGGACCGACACUGACGCUGAGGAGCGAAAGCCAGGGGAGCAAACGGG